CCAGUUGCACAUGCGCAUUUAAAUCACCAUUCCUUUUCUCAAAAUGAUUUUCAGAAAUAUGAAAAAAAUUGACACAAAAAAAUUGUUUAGUUCCAAAAGGCGCUAAAUCCAAAAGUGUUUAGUUCCAAAAGGCGCUAAAUCCAAAAGUGUUUAGUUCCAAAAGGCGCUAUAUCCACCUUGUGUGAUUUGAUCAAUCAGAGCGCAGUAUUGUUCCAGUGACCCGGAUUGACAACAGCUUUUAGCUUGCUGCUUUCAUCGAGAUCGAUCCUAUUUCUGCAGUAUUUACAGUGUUUUGACAGUCUUUAGCUCACUUAGCAACAUGGAUGAGGGAGGGGUGCUAGUUGAGAGAACCAACAAUCCAAGAAAAAGGAAGCGAAAUGAAAAAUAAUGGGCCAAAAACCAGAACAAGGAAGAUCAUGACACCGCUCCUGGGAAGCAACCAGCCAUUGGAUGCCAGCACAUGCCUCACAGCUUUUCUAAGGCGUCUUUGCUGACAGAAGGAGACAUCACAUAUACUUUCCAGGACCGCUACAGAGACUCUAACAACCGCGGCAAGAUUCAUUCAUCACGUGCCACUUACAACUCAAUCCAGUCAUGCACCAUCAAGGAAAUGGUCCACAACCAAGGAGAGAGCGGAACUAUGCCCCAACAUUUCAAAUUACGACACAGCAAGGGGAAAAUGUGAAGAUGUGCUCCGGAAGAUUCAGAUCCAUCCUUGUACUUGGUAGGAAACGUCUGGGCAACCUAAUAAAGUACGCCUGCCAUUCAAAAUCACAGAGGCCAAACGCAUCUACGUGAGACCAGCUCCAGCCCCAGUCACUAUAGUAGUAUUAUAGCGCACCUGGAGAUGAGUACACCAUAUUGAAGAGAGGAAAGAGAUGGAGUACUCUUUGGGUCAAUCAGCUCCCAUUGCUGAAGCAGCAGGAUGUAGCAAAUCUUCUACGAGCGAUGGGGUGGAGCUACAAGUGGACCUGCUAGUAGGUUAUGGGCCACGCAACUUCAUUCAGGAAGUAGGUGCCUUUUACAAAGAGGUGUGCGCGCCUACUGAUGCAAUGGACGUAGAGAGUGAUGAGGACAAAGGCAUUAUUGCUUCCUAUGAAGAUUGACAUUUGAUUUUAUGCCUUUUACACAGUUAAUGGAUCAGUUUAAACCAUUUAAUUCAAGAACAGAGAAGGCUUUUAAAAUGUGCAUUCAUUGAGCAGUGCAGUUGGAAUCAGAUCCCGUUUCAUUACCCAUGUAUCCAUUUUGUUGUAAGUAGCGCUGGUUAUUAUUAAUGCAAAUUUACUAAACCAGAAUGCAUUCACACAGAUAAUUAAUAUUUGGCGCUUUGCUACCUUUACUGUAUAAUAACAACUAAUAGAUUGUGGCUAAUCUCACAACUUUACAGUAGAUUGUACUGAUAUUUUAUGGGUAGAGUUUUAUUGCUCCUAUUUCCAUUAGGAUGUUAACAAACAAUUAUUCAAAUAAUAUGUAUGCAUAAUCAGCACUCAAGUAUGUCUUUUAUCUGCUGUUUAUGAGGAGUCGGUUACAUUAUUGAACUAUGAAUAAUUUCCAUUGUAAGGUAUCUUCUUGUUGACAUUCAUAUGAUAUUGUUAAAGAAACUGUACAUUAAUUAUUUAUGUACUUGCCAAUUUUUGUAUGUCUUAAUUAACUCACCGUUUAUGACAUGAGAUAAUGAGUAAAGCAAAUUUACAAGAUUUUCAAAUUUCACACAAUACAAGUCUUUACUGCCUGUUUAUUUUGUCAAUUUAAAAAUGUGCUGAGUCACCCGAGUGGUUGUGUGUUUUUACAAGUUGAAUAGAGAGAACAUUUUUAUGAUUGAAGUUGCCCAUGUACUAACUAUUUGCGAAAUGUGAAACAUUUUGAUUGAAAUUAGUGUGGAGCGAAAACGUCUAGAAUGAUGAGAUGUGAGAAGUAUGUUCAACAUAAUGUAGGCUUUCAAUGUGUUAAAUGGAUAGAUAUGUGUGUGUUAGACCCUGAAUUAUAAUUAAAGAAGUAUGUUAUUACAUCCGAACAUCAUUCUUAAAACCAAAAAAAAAAAA
Strongylocentrotus purpuratus (purple sea urchin) is the source of this 2042-nucleotide long non-coding RNA. RefSeq lists it as uncharacterized. The record is from RefSeq and is a predicted model, not a curated record. The transcript is spliced from 3 exons. NCBI's taxonomy places the organism in Eukaryota, Metazoa, Echinodermata, Echinoidea, Camarodonta, Strongylocentrotidae.